RNAcentral lists this ribosomal RNA (438 nucleotides) under Biomphalaria straminea. RNAcentral describes it as "partial 16S ribosomal RNA". The stretch from base 1 to 153 matches the Rfam family "Archaeal large subunit ribosomal RNA", at positions 1888 to 2086 of the family's 2987-position model. Lineage: Eukaryota; Metazoa; Mollusca; Gastropoda; Planorbidae. The record is from RNAcentral.
UCGCCUGUUUUACAAAAACAUAGUUUAAGGAAAUAAUCUUAAAUGAAUUCUGCCCAGUGAUUUUUUUUUAAAUGGCCGCAGUACCUUGACUGUGCUAAGGUAGCAUAAUCAAUUGGCUUCUAAUUAAAGUCUGGAAUGAAAGGAAAUAUGAAGUAAUUCUAUCUUAAAGGAUUUUUUUUGAAUUUAUUUAAAUGAUGAAAAUAUCAUUUUAUAGAAAAAAGACGAGAAGACCCUUAGAGUUUUGAUAUUUAUAUAUUUUUGUUGGGGCGACAGGUAAACAUAUAACUUUACGAAUUAUCAUUGAUCGAUUUUUUAUAAGAAUAAUAAAACUACCUUAGGGAUAACAGCAUUAUAUUUUUUUUUAUGAUUGUGACCUCGAUGUUGGACUAGGAACUUUAUGGCUAGCCGUCAAAAAAGAUUUGUCGCCGAACAUAAUCA